AAAUUUGAAGUUUUAGAGCUAAUCAAACUUCUGGGUCCGCGGUUAGUCAAAUCGUGGAGAUGAAUGAAUGAGUAUGGUAAAAGGUGGAAGGUUGACGAAGAUGCGAGAACAUCACAAUAUUAAGAAACAAAGAAUCUAGACAGUAACACACGUGAGAAUAGAUAAGGAAAACCAAAUUGAAGUGAAUAAUGGUUUUCGGUAUCAUGAAAUGAAAGCUGUGUUUGCUAUGCCCACCGCUAAGAAGUAGGCACAAAGAAUGUGUUUGUAAAUAUUUUUCGAUGAAAAACGAUACAUUUGACAAUUUAUUUCGAAAACAUUUUGAUAUUGUGUGUCACUUUAUAAUUAUAAUUGGUUCAUUACAUUUUUGAAUUAUUCUAUAGUUUUCGUGAAAAUAAAAUGAAUUGUAACUCAAGGGUGCGGGUGUUUCAAAUUUUCGACGUUUUGUUUUUACGUUCGCGAAACUUAGGUUUAUGAAACUUGGUUACA
RNAcentral lists this long non-coding RNA (486 nucleotides) under Vigna radiata. RNAcentral describes it as "long non-coding RNA (VRAD_LNC000285)". The record is from RNAcentral. Lineage: Eukaryota; Viridiplantae; Streptophyta; Magnoliopsida; Fabales; Fabaceae.